AUACGUAGGGUGCAAGCGUUAAUCGGAAUUACUGGGCGUAAAGCGUGCGCAGGCGGUUUUGUAAGACAGUGGUGAAAUCCCCGGGCUCAAACUGGGAACUGCCAUUGUGACUGCAAGGCUGGAGUGCGGCAGAGGGGGGUGGAAUUCCGGGGGUAGCAGUGAAAUGCGUAGAUAUGCGGAGGAACACCGAUGGCGAAGGCAAUCCCCUGGGCCUGCACUGACGCUCAUGCACGAAAGCGUGGGGAGCAAACAGGAUUAGAUACCCUGGUAGUCCACGCCCUAAACGAUGUCAACUGGUUGUUGGGUCUUCAUUGACUCAGUAACGAAGCUAACGCGUGAAGUUGACCGCCUGGGGAGUACGGCCUCAAGGUUGAAACUCAAAGGAAUUGACGGGG
Molecule: ribosomal RNA, 395 nt
Filed under: uncultured bacterium
Lineage: Bacteria
Description: partial 16S ribosomal RNA
Rfam family: Bacterial small subunit ribosomal RNA
Source: RNAcentral